AAAACAUAGUAUAAUACAAUACAUUUCACUUACACUGAAAAUAUACUUAAUUUAUAAGUUGUUUU
This 65-nucleotide transfer RNA is filed under the name Phrontis pagoda. RNAcentral's name for it is "Nassarius pagodus transfer RNA-Val". Lineage: Eukaryota; Metazoa; Mollusca; Gastropoda; Neogastropoda; Nassariidae. The record is from RNAcentral.